GGAUAUGAGGGCGAUCUGGCUGCGACAUCUGUCACCCCAUUGAUCGCCAGGGUUGAUUUGGCUGAUCUGGCUGGCUAGGCUGGUGUCCCCUUCCUCCCUCACCGCUCCAUGUGCGUCCCUCCCGAAGCUGCGCGCUCGGUCGAAGAGGACGACCUUCCCCAAUAGAGGAGGACCAGUCUUCGGUCAAGGGUAUACUUGACCGAAGACCACUCCCCUGCUAGAACCUCCAAAACAAGCUCUCAAGAAAGUUGCUCCUCUGUAAUUACUUUUGAGUCCCAAUGUAACAGAUAUGCAUACAUUUUUCCUUUUG
RNAcentral lists this small nuclear RNA (310 nucleotides) under Mus spretus (western wild mouse). RNAcentral describes it as "predicted gene, 54658 (ENSMSPG00010031345.1)". It matches the Rfam family "7SK RNA". From Rfam's summary of the family: 7SK was discovered as an abundant small nuclear RNA in the mid-70s but a possible function has only recently been suggested. Two independent studies have found that 7SK RNA binds the CDK9/cyclin T complex (known as elongation factor P-TEFb). P-TEFb activates transcription by phosphorylating the C-terminal domain of RNA polymerase II. The record is from RNAcentral. Lineage: Eukaryota; Metazoa; Chordata; Mammalia; Rodentia; Muridae.